AGUUGGCAGGAUGGCAGCAGCAGACACACAGGGUGGUUAAGAACAACAAACACAGGCAAACCACUUCAAUAGAACAUGGCUGGCGGCCAUAUGGACAUAUUUGAAUCCAACAAUUAAUUCAGCAAAGAAAGCUGCUUGUGGCAAGUUUUGAAUGUGCCAUUCCAGGUAGUGCUUUGAUGAUAAAUGAGGAGAAGAUUGCAAAGAAAAUGACAGCAACAUUUAUAAAAGGAUUCCUCUUAGGACUCUAGAUGCACGGAGAGUGGCCAGAUUAAUACAGACUGGCAAAAGAAGAACUUGGCAAAGUGAUUUGAUCACACACUUCUCACCCUCACAUCUCCUGACAGUUCCCCUAAUCCCUGCCCCACUUCCCCGCCAUGGGCUUCCAUCAGGAAACUCCUUGAUAUCAUCUUCGAGAAGAAAACUGAGGCAUAGAACAUUUGGGAAUGAAUCUAAGACUACACAUCUAGAAUAGCAGAGUUACAGGAAUGCAGAUGUGAUUCCUAUGGAUGAGGGUAACCUAGAGGCUAGAAGAACAAUAGGACAGAAGAAGCCUGGGUCCCUGAACAACCUUGUGGAGCAUAGACACCUACGUGGCCUGGACUGCCAGCUCACAAUGGGCCUCUCUGUGAGAGAAGGAAACUUCCCUCUUGUUUAAGCAACUGUGCUUUUGAGAAUCUCUUGGUCUAUACCCUAAUGAAUAAGGCCAUCAUAAAUGGAUAUCAAAGUAAGGAAAUUUGUGUAAAUGAUUUAAUAAAACAUUACCUCAGGUAUGAAAUAA
RNAcentral lists this long non-coding RNA (778 nucleotides) under Homo sapiens (human). Its description in RNAcentral is "long intergenic non-protein coding RNA 2269". The record is from RNAcentral. Lineage: Eukaryota; Metazoa; Chordata; Mammalia; Primates; Hominidae.